This 231-nucleotide unclassified non-coding RNA is filed under the name plant metagenome. RNAcentral describes it as "partial contains small subunit ribosomal RNA, internal transcribed spacer 1, and 5.8S ribosomal RNA". The record is from RNAcentral.
UCUCCGUUGGUGAACCAGCGGAGGGAUCAUUACAGAGUUGCAAAACUCCCAAACCAUUGUGAACGUUACCUAUCCCGUUGCUUCGGCGGGCGGCCCGGGCCCCGCGCCCGGCGCCCCCCGGCCCCCCGUGGGCGCCCGCCGGAGGUAAACCAAACCCUUGAAUUGCAUGGCCUCACUGAGUCUUCUGUACUGAAUAAGUCAAAACUUUCAACAACGGAUCUCUUGGUCCUG